RNAcentral lists this ribosomal RNA (497 nucleotides) under uncultured bacterium. Its description in RNAcentral is "partial 16S ribosomal RNA". It matches the Rfam family "Bacterial small subunit ribosomal RNA", at positions 28 to 507 of the family's 1533-position model. The record is from RNAcentral.
GGUGAACGCUGGCGGCGUGCCUAAUACAUGCAAGUCGAGCGAACAGACGAGGAGCUUGCUCCUCUGACGUUAGCGGCGGACGGGUGAGUAACACGUGGAUAACCUACCUAUAAGACUGGGAUAACUUCGGGAAACCGGCGCUAAUACCGGAUAAUAUAUUUAACCGCAUGGUUCAAUAGUGAAAGACGGUUUUGCUGUCACUUAUAGAUGGAUCCGCGCCGCAUUAGCUAGUUGGUAAGGUAACGGCUUACCAAGGCGACGAUGCGUAGCCGACCUGAGAGGGUGAUCGGCCACACUGGAACUGAGACACGGUCCAGACUCCUACGGGAGGCAGCAGUAGGGAAUCUUCCGCAAUGGGCGAAAGCCUGACGGAGCAACGCCGCGUGAGUGAUGAAGGUCUUCGGAUCGUAAAACUCUGUUAUUAGGGAAGAACAAAUGUGUAAGUAACUAUGCACGUCUUGACGGUACCUAAUCAGAAAGCCACGGCUAACUACGUG